GACACCAAGCUACUCAGCUAAGUUUGAUGUGAGAGGAACCUCCCCACUUGACAUCCUCUCAAUAAAGAUUGAAGGCUCUGGAAUGUUGGCCACCCCUGAUUCCAUCAAAGCCCAUUUGAAAAGCUCUUUGGCGCAUAAGUUCCUCGAAGCCAGUAUUAGUAUUGUUGAGGAUGCAACCAUCACAGACAAAAUCAAUUU
Molecule: long non-coding RNA, 198 nt
Organism: Etheostoma cragini (Arkansas darter)
Lineage: Eukaryota; Metazoa; Chordata; Actinopteri; Perciformes; Percidae
Exons: 2
Source: RefSeq, a predicted model, not a curated record